RNAcentral lists this unclassified non-coding RNA (207 nucleotides) under Hevea brasiliensis (rubber tree). Lineage: Eukaryota; Viridiplantae; Streptophyta; Magnoliopsida; Malpighiales; Euphorbiaceae. The record is from RNAcentral.
AGAAACGAAAAGAGGAGAAAACAAUGGAAAUUAGAUUUCUUAAUUUCCUUCCAAAUCUCCAAAACAAUUUUCACCAAUUUGGAGUGAAAAGGGGGUAACUGAAGAAGAAAAAAAAAGAUAGGGAGGCUGAAAUUACGAAUAUACCCUUGAUACCAUAUAAAUAGCAAAGGUUUCAUAAUGUCGAUAUAAUAGAAAAAUAGACUUUAU